CCCUUCCGUCCUCCCGGGCUGCGUCUUCCCCGACGGUUCCCUCCGUGGAAACUUCAGCCUCUCCGGGCUUCUCUUUGCUAGUGCAUUAUCGAAGGUGUGAAAGUGGCUUUGGGAAUCUCACCUUCCUGCGGUCGCUGCGGGGCUUGGAGGAGCGAACUGCAAAACAACUUUUAUUUGACCCACAUGCCGCCCCUCAGAUUUUAUCUUCCAUCACUCGCCUGCAUCGAAAGGUUUUUCAGUUUAAGAGCUGAUUAGCUCACUCAUGUGUUUGCUGUUGGUAGCGGGGAAGGAGGAGCUGGGCGAAACACUUAAAAAUACACGCACACAAACUCUGGCAGCCGAUAAGGUGCUGGUUGUAAUCUACAAGCUCUUUGUGCUUUCCUACAAAGUUCCUAACGUGUCUGUGAUUACUGGCAUAUAUAUAUUUUUUUCUUUUUUGGAAGGGUGGUGGCAUUAGUUAUGAUGUAAGGAUUAUCUGUUGGAUGUGUAGAGGAGACAGUUUUGGGUAUGCAAUUGAAGUGUAUAGUGUUUUUUUCUUUUUUCUUUUUCCCCGUCUCCCUUUUUUCUCUACUUAAUAUAGUCAUAUGCAUCAGAGCAGUACUUCACUGGAAAUAGUCAAUGCCCAACUCAAGAUUUUCAUGGUAAUUUUCUAAAGACCUGUUUGUGGAGUGUGCUCACUUUUUCCUUCCAUUUUUAAGUACACUUAACAGUUCAGUUGAGCUGUUAAAGCAUCUCAAGUUUCUUUUUUGUUAGGUGUCAAAGGUAGUGGUGAGCUAGUGGAUGCUCUAGGCUUCCCUUAAUGUUUUCUGUUUUGGUUUGGUUUUGUUUAUGUCUGGGGAUACAGUGCAUGAUCUAGUUGAGUCCUGGGGGAGAAAAGGAAGAUUAGCCAAAACAGGGACUUAAAGCUCAUAAGGGAGAGUGGAGUAGCUAAUAUAAUUAGAUACCAGGCUAGAGCUACAGAUGCUGCUCCUGCUGCAGUAUUGUGGAGACAACUGAUCAUACUGAGUGGAAAACUCUCUGCGUGGAAGGGAAACACUGUGGAGCUCGUACGGUUAUGUGCCUCUACAGGUCAAGGCUCCUGCUGCCGCCGCCGCCGCUGCUGCUGCAGACACUGACAUCACUAUACUGCAUGAAUGAAAAACAACAUCGUGCUCCAUUUCUUGCUCUCCACCUCCUUCCUUUUUUGCACACUCCUCUGUGUGUGUGUGUGUGUGUGUGUGUGUGUAUUUACGAUGGUGUUAUGCUGCAUAUGAAACUACAUUUAAAAAUGUUAAAUUAGGUAGAUGGUGGCUCAAGGGAUAUGUAUUUAGUACAGAGGCAUAUUGUUUACAGAAAGCUUCAAGUGCUAUGAGCAUUUGGACUGGAGGUGACAUAACUGAGCAUUCGUUUUUUUUUUUUUUUUUUUUCCUGGACUGGUGGUGAUGGAAGAAAAUACAGAAGCUUCAAAUACUUUUCUUUGUAAUUGUUUUACCAAGAGGAAAUUAUGAAACAACGUAAUUUCUAAACAUGUCAGAUCAUUAUUAUUUCCCUCUUAAACAUUCUUAAUAUGCAUAUUUAGGGUUAGGCUAUAAUAAUAAAGAAAUGAUACUCAGGUUAUUUCAUAAAGCUGAGGAAGAGCUGAAUUCUGUAAUUGGUGCAAUCAGUUUUAAUAUAUUAAUUUAUAAAAUUAAACGAGAUGGCAAUUUUCUUUAUUUUUGUAGCACAGUUUUAGAUAAUUUGAAACGGUAUCAUAAGAUACGUAAGUCUUUUAAUAACCUUGCUCUAUAUAGAGGAUAUGGACUUCUACAAAUUAAAACUAUCUCGUUUAUACAUGUGAAUCAUAUUUUUGUAUUUUUUAAAUUUCUAUUGUAUUUUUAAAACUUCAAGGUUUGUUAUUUAUAUUCAUUUCUCUACUUCUGCCAUUUAGCAAAAUGUCACCCUCCCCCUUGUUUGGUUCUGAAGGGUCUUGAAGUGGUGAAUGACAAGCUGCUGAAUGCAUCCUCAGGCUCCCUGUGAUGUGUUUGUAAUAGAUGUAAAAUCAUAAAGUAUUAUGCAAAUAGUUAUUUUUUUGUAAUGGUAAUACAUAAAGUCUACCUUUGAGAUAAAUAGAACAACUCAAAUGGGAAUAUAGCAGGAUGUUAGUGUUAAAGUUAAUCAUCUGUAAGCUAAAAUCAUGAGUAAUAACCAAAAGAAAAUAAAGUUGCUUCUUUCUGAAACCUCAGAGCAAAACCUGUGGAUUUAGAAACAGAACAAAUACUCACAAUUUUACUGUGCAAGAUAAGAUAGUAAGUAGCAAUUGCAAAUCCUUUUGUGUGUGUGUGUGUGUGUGUGUGUGUGUGUUUAAGAUUGAGCACUAGGAUGAAUUAUAAAUUCUAAAAGAUAUAAAAGGAGUUGCAUUAGAGAACUCUGAAUGGAGAAUACUGCUUAUUUUUAAGUACUAAAUCUAGUUGAAAAAGCAUGGAAGAGCUUGUAAUUUAUAUGGCUCUUUUAUGGAGAAUAGCAUGCAUUGAUCCCUGAUUUAACAGAACAUUUAUUUAGGCCUACUAUGCUAACAGAUUACAAACUCCAGAGUGAAAUUUGAUUAGAAUUUUUUAUGGUUAUCUUGAGAGCUUUAUUGUUUUAUGCUAAGUUGUGAUUACAUUUUAAAAGAAAAUACAAAGCCAGUUAGCAUGUAAUAUUGAAUGACUUCAUACAAUGUGUGUAUGUCUUUGUGUUUUAAUCAAAUUAAUUUGCUUUCAGUGUUUCAAUCUUUUCAUUAAAUUUUCCUUUUUGAGUCUUUUUUU
Herpailurus yagouaroundi (jaguarundi) is the source of this 2762-nucleotide long non-coding RNA. RefSeq lists it as uncharacterized. The record is from RefSeq and is a predicted model, not a curated record. Lineage: Eukaryota; Metazoa; Chordata; Mammalia; Carnivora; Felidae. The transcript has 2 exons.